This 1171-nucleotide ribosomal RNA is filed under the name Salmonella enterica subsp. enterica serovar Berta. RNAcentral's name for it is "partial 23S ribosomal RNA". It matches the Rfam family "Bacterial large subunit ribosomal RNA", at positions 1761 to 2925 of the family's 2925-position model. The record is from RNAcentral. RNAcentral also lists the same sequence under 1 other name. Lineage: Bacteria; Pseudomonadati; Pseudomonadota; Gammaproteobacteria; Enterobacterales; Enterobacteriaceae.
CACGGAGCUGAAGUCAGUCGAAGAUACCAGCUGGCUGCAACUGUUUAUUAAAAACACAGCACUGUGCAAACACGAAAGUGGACGUAUACGGUGUGACGCCUGCCCGGUGCCGGAAGGUUAAUUGAUGGGGUCAGCGCAAGCGAAGCUCCUGAUCGAAGCCCCGGUAAACGGCGGCCGUAACUAUAACGGUCCUAAGGUAGCGAAAUUCCUUGUCGGGUAAGUUCCGACCUGCACGAAUGGCGUAAUGAUGGCCAGGCUGUCUCCACCCGAGACUCAGUGAAAUUGAACUCGCUGUGAAGAUGCAGUGUACCCGCGGCAAGACGGAAAGACCCCGUGAACCUUUACUAUAGCUUGACACUGAACAUUGAGCCUUGAUGUGUAGGAUAGGUGGGAGGCUUUGAAGUGUGGACGCCAGUCUGCAUGGAGCCGACCUUGAAAUACCACCCUUUAAUGUUUGAUGUUCUAACGUGGACCCGUUACCCGGGUUGCGGACAGUGUCUGGUGGGUAGUUUGACUGGGGCGGUCUCCUCCUAAAGAGUAACGGAGGAGCACGAAGGUUGGCUAAUCCUGGUCGGACAUCAGGAGGUUAGUGCAAUGGCAUAAGCCAGCUUGACUGCGAGCGUGACGGCGCGAGCAGGUGCGAAAGCAGGUCAUAGUGAUCCGGUGGUUCUGAAUGGAAGGGCCAUCGCUCAACGGAUAAAAGGUACUCCGGGGAUAACAGGCUGAUACCGCCCAAGAGUUCAUAUCGACGGCGGUGUUUGGCACCUCGAUGUCGGCUCAUCACAUCCUGGGGCUGAAGUAGGUCCCAAGGGUAUGGCUGUUCGCCAUUUAAAGUGGUACGCGAGCUGGGUUUAGAACGUCGUGAGACAGUUCGGUCCCUAUCUGCCGUGGGCGCUGGAGAACUGAGGGGGGCUGCUCCUAGUACGAGAGGACCGGAGUGGACGCAUCACUGGUGUUCGGGUUGUCAUGCCAAUGGCACUGCCCGGUAGCUAAAUGCGGAAGAGAUAAGUGCUGAAAGCAUCUAAGCACGAAACUUGCCCCGAGAUGAGUUCUCCCUGAGACUUUAGGUCUCCUGAAGGAACGUUGAAGACGACGACGUUGAUAGGCCGGGUGUGUAAGCGCAGCGAUGCGUUGAGCUAACCGGUACUAAUGAACCGUGAGGCUUAACCUU